CUCAGCAUCCAUUGAGAUAAUCAUGUGGUUUUUAUCUUUCAGUUUGUUAAUGUGGUGUAUCACAGUGAUUGUUGUGAAUAUUGAAGAAUCCUUGCAUCUGGGAUAAAGCCCACUUGGUCAUGAUGUGUGAUCUUUUUACCGGGUCCCUCUUCUGUGUUUCACAUCUGGGGGAGCCCCUGCUGAGCCUUCCUUAGGUUGUCUCCUGGGCGCCUUCCAGGGCCCUGCUCACGUGGGUCCUGGCCCUGGAACCUGCUGAGGGUCAUGAGGCCAGUAUGUGGGCAGGUAGCUUUUGGGUUCUAGACCCGGCCCGCCCUAACCCUGAAGCUUGUUGUAUUCUCUGUCCCAUACCCUGUUGCCUUCUGAGGAAGUUUGCAGGUCUGAAGAACUAGCUCCACGGCCUAGAGGAAGAGUACUGAAGUUGAAACCCUCUGGGAUCCACCUUCUUCCUCAUCUCCAGUAGUGGUACCUCAUUUUGCCCAAAGAGUCUCUUGGUCCACAGACUUUGUGCAUACAUCUUUGUGCUCAUGGCCUUGUAGGGAAAGUUGUCCGUUUUUUGCUUUGUUUUCAAGAAAUGACGUGGCUUCCUCUUUCCAGUCAUACCCAUAACAAUUUUCAAGGGCUCAUGAAAGUCAUGCAGCUUAGAGAUUUGGCAUCUUGAACCCUGGUGGCUCAGAUGGUAAAGAAUCUGCCUGCAGUGCAAAAGACCAGGCUUCGAUUCCUGGAUGGGGAAGAUCCUCUGGAGAAGGAAAUGGCAACCCACUUCAGUAUUCUUGCCUGGAGAAUUGCAUGGACCGAGGACCCUGGCGGGCUGCAGUCCAUGGGGGUCACAGAGAGUCGGAUACAGCUGAGCACUAACACACACACAUAGGAGGCUCCUAAAUAUGCACAUAACCUUUGUUUUUAAUCACCUAAUAUUCCCUCUGUCCUUCCACCUUGAUACUCUUGAAGAUGAACUCUUUUUCCUUGAAACUUCAAUUGAUUCCGGUUUUGGCUGUUGGAGCCCGAGUGUCCAGACCCACAGAAGAUCUUUUCUGCAGAACCUUUGAAAUAUUUGAGAAUGGUGAGCAGGUCCCUCCUGGCCUCAGGUUCUUCUUUAAGCAUCUGCGCUUUUCCUCACUACCCCCCAGUAGCGUCCACACUUUGCACGGCCGUGGAUCACAGCACACCAGCUCUCAUCUCUGUGACCUGUGCAGGGUACAUGCUGCCCUGCCCUGUCCUGUCCAAGUUCCCACUCAUAGAACUCUCCAGAAUGCCCGGGGUUUUUUGUUCCUUUAGUUCCUUUUUUUUCACCCAGAUCCUUCCCCACUUGUACUUAAGAAAUUAAUAUUUUGAAUGUAAAUGUGACUUUACACGUAUCUUUGAAUUUCAUCUUAGUACUUCUUUCAGUUCCAGUUCUUGCUCUUCAGAUCUUUGGAUGGUAUUUUUUUUUCUCUGCUGAUGCACUGAUGAGUUCUGAGGAUUUGGUAACCCAGACUUGCCUUUUUACCUAAGCUGCUAGUGAAGCUCCAUGGAGAGGGGCCCAGCCGUGAAUAUGUGGCCGUCGCUGUUUGCUGUGUCCUCAUCCUCGUCGGGCUCAGUGACAGAGGAUUAAUAAGGAGAAUCACUCCAGGAGAUGGUGAUGGACAGGGAAGCCUGGUGUGCUGCAGUCCAUGGGGUCGCAAAGAGCUGGACACGACCGAAUGAGAGAACAGAACAACAGUAGGGAAAAUGGGACUGAGUACUGCUGAGACCCUGCCCUGUGCCAUUGCCUCCCUCUGGAGCAGGGGUGGAGGAGUCAGGCAUUUACCUGCCUCCCGCCCCUGGAAGCCCCCGGGGUUGGUGGCAGUGGGACUCUGGAUGGAGCCCAGAUGUCCCCUGUGAUCUGGGGGUGUGGGUGUCUCCCACAGCGUGCACAGGGCCCCUCCUCCCUCUGCCCUCCUAUGGCUAACCCCUUAUUACAUCCAGGUUUGUUCCUGCUUUCCUGGAACCUUCCUUAUUUCUCUCGGCGGAAAGCCGUGGCUCUGUCUCCAAACACCUGCUGUUGGUUCUUCGGGACGUAGGUUACAGCCUGCGCGGUAAUUCUUGUCAUUUUCUUCUCUCUCCAUCAACCAGAAUUGUGACUUAAAUGCGGUUGUUUUCUCUCUCUCCUUUCUUCAAUAAUGGAAUCCAGUAAACAUAAAUAAUAAUAAUAAAAAUGUGUCC
This is a long non-coding RNA of Bubalus bubalis (water buffalo), 2181 nucleotides long. RefSeq lists it as uncharacterized. The record is from RefSeq and is a predicted model, not a curated record. NCBI's taxonomy places the organism in Eukaryota, Metazoa, Chordata, Mammalia, Artiodactyla, Bovidae. The transcript is spliced from 2 exons.